Molecule: long non-coding RNA, 231 nt
Organism: Clarias gariepinus (North African catfish)
Lineage: Eukaryota; Metazoa; Chordata; Actinopteri; Siluriformes; Clariidae
Exons: 3
Source: RefSeq, a predicted model, not a curated record
CGAGAAUCAGUUCAUCAGUUCAAGUGAAAUGGAUCCAGUUGUCUGCAGAGAAAAGUGUGAAAAUCAUGAGCUUGUGUGCACAACAGUAUCAUCUUUUGGACAAGUGCAUCCAGUGUGUGGGACCUGUAUCCUCCUUCAAGUGGCUUGGCUAUAAGUGCAAAGCUUGUUUGGGGGUCUGGCAUAAAACAUGCCUUAAGCGAAUUACAGAUGACUACCACCGCUAUUCACAGG